UUCAUCUUGACGGGGUGCCGUAACCAAUCGGCUGAGAUGAUACCCGCAAUACCUGAACCGGUUCGCACCGGCGUAGGGAUCGAGAUGCAUACUACA
Molecule: non-coding RNA, 96 nt
Filed under: Terasakiispira papahanaumokuakeensis
Lineage: Bacteria; Pseudomonadati; Pseudomonadota; Gammaproteobacteria; Oceanospirillales
Description: TPP sequence
Rfam family: TPP riboswitch aptamer (THI element)
About the family: Vitamin B(1) in its active form thiamin pyrophosphate (TPP) is an essential coenzyme that is synthesised by coupling of pyrimidine and thiazole moieties in bacteria. The previously detected thiamin-regulatory element, thi box was extended, resulting in a new, highly conserved RNA secondary structure, the THI element, which is widely distributed in eubacteria and also occurs in some archaea. Analysis of operon structures identified a large number of new candidate thiamin-regulated genes, mostly transporters, in various prokaryotic organisms.
Source: Rfam by way of RNAcentral